RNAcentral lists this ribosomal RNA (446 nucleotides) under uncultured Rhizobium sp. RNAcentral's name for it is "bacterial SSU rRNA". It matches the Rfam family "Bacterial small subunit ribosomal RNA", at positions 8 to 503 of the family's 1533-position model. The record is from RNAcentral. Lineage: Bacteria; Pseudomonadati; Pseudomonadota; Alphaproteobacteria; Hyphomicrobiales; Rhizobiaceae.
AGAGUUUGAUCCUGGCUCAGAACGAACGCUGGCGGCAGGCUUAACACAUGCAAGUCGAGCGCCCCGCAAGGGGAGCGGCAGACGGGUGAGUAACGCGUGGGAAUCUACCCAACCCUACGGAAUAGCUCCGGGAAACUGGAAUUAAUACCGUAUACGCCCUUUGGGGGAAAGAUUUAUCGGGGAUGGAUGAGCCCGCGUUGGAUUAGCUAGUUGGUGGGGUAAAGGCCUACCAAGGCGACGAUCCAUAGCUGGUCUGAGAGGAUGAUCAGCCACAUUGGGACUGAGACACGGCCCAAACUCCUACGGGAGGCAGCAGUGGGGAAUAUUGGACAAUGGGCGCAAGCCUGAUCCAGCCAUGCCGCGUGAGUGAUGAAGGUCUUAGGAUUGUAAAGCUCUUUCACCGGUGAAGAUAAUGACGGUAACCGAGAAGAGCCCACGAUUCCCCC